AUCCAGCUGACGAGUCCCAAAUAGAACGUCCUGGAU
Schistosoma curassoni is the source of this 36-nucleotide non-coding RNA. The record is from Rfam. NCBI's taxonomy places the organism in Eukaryota, Metazoa, Platyhelminthes, Trematoda, Strigeidida, Schistosomatidae.